UAAAAAUAAUUUAAUUUUAAGUGCAUUUGUUUGGUUGCUUGCAGGAUCUUACCCUGAAAGAAGCAGAAACCAUUGCGCUUUCCAUCUUGAAGCAAGUGAUGGAAGAAAAGGUUACACCCAACAAUGUUGAUAUUGCAAAGGUAGCACCAACUUACCAUCUGUACUCGCCUUCUGAGGUUGAACAGGUUAUCAGCCGCCUAUAAGAAAAGGCCAUCAAUUUGCUUUGCUGAUUUUCAUUGCAAAAUCACUUUCCCAAUAUUCGUAUGCUUGAAUUCAAUAUGAACUAUUAAGAGGAUUUGUUUUGGCUUUGAUGAGCAAACUACUGUGGACUUGUGAGCAUAUUUUCUGUUAAAUGAAUCAAUGUUUCUUUCAACUAACUUAAAUUA
This is a long non-coding RNA of Olea europaea var. sylvestris, 386 nucleotides long. RefSeq lists it as uncharacterized. The record is from RefSeq and is a predicted model, not a curated record. Lineage: Eukaryota; Viridiplantae; Streptophyta; Magnoliopsida; Lamiales; Oleaceae. The transcript has 2 exons.